ACGAACGCUGGCGGCGUGCUUAACACCUGCCAGUCGAACGGAAAGGCCCUGCUUUUGUGGGGUGCUCGCGUGGCGAACGGGUGAGUAACACGUGAGUAACCUGCCCUUGACUUUGGGAUAACUUCAGGAAACUGGGGCUAAUACCGGAUAGGAGCUCCUGCUGCAUGGUGGGGGUUGGAAAGUUUCGGCGGUUGGGGAUGGACUCGCGGCUUAUCAGCUUGUUGGUGGGGUAGUGGCUUACCAAGGCUUUGACGGGUAGCCGGCCUGAGAGGGUGACCGGCCACAUUGGGACUGAGAUACGGCCCAGACUCCUACGGGAGGCAGCAGUGGGGAAUAUUGCACAAUGGGCGGAAGCCUGAUGCAGCAACGCCGCGUGCGGGAUGACGGCCUUCGGGUUGUAAACCGCUUUCGCCUGUGACGAAGCGUGAGUGACGGUAAUGGGUAAAGAAGCACCGGCUAUCUACGUG
This 467-nucleotide ribosomal RNA is filed under the name uncultured bacterium. RNAcentral's name for it is "partial 16S ribosomal RNA". It matches the Rfam family "Bacterial small subunit ribosomal RNA", at positions 29 to 507 of the family's 1533-position model. The record is from RNAcentral.